This 23-nucleotide microRNA is filed under the name Strongyloides ratti. RNAcentral describes it as "str-miR-81c-5p". Its record names the gene str-miR-81c-5p. Lineage: Eukaryota; Metazoa; Nematoda; Chromadorea; Rhabditida; Strongyloididae. The record is from miRBase by way of RNAcentral.
AUAGGUCUAUUUGCUUUCUCAUG